UGGCCAAGGUGCCGAGGAGCACACAGAGGA
Molecule: non-coding RNA, 30 nt
Filed under: Homo sapiens (human)
Lineage: Eukaryota; Metazoa; Chordata; Mammalia; Primates; Hominidae
Source: RNAcentral